Molecule: small RNA, 636 nt
Filed under: Pongo abelii (Sumatran orangutan)
Lineage: Eukaryota; Metazoa; Chordata; Mammalia; Primates; Hominidae
Description: retained intron
Source: RNAcentral
CUCUUUCCCUGCCGCCGCCGAGUCGCGCGGAGGCGGAGGCUUGGGUGCGUUCAAGAUUCAGCUUCGCCCGUAACCCACCGCCAUGGCCGAGGAAGGCAUUGCUGCUGGAGGUGUAAUGGACGUUAAUACUGCUUUACAAGAGGUUCUGAAGACCGCCCUCAUCCACGAUGGCUUAGCACGUGGAAUUCGCGAAGCUGCCAAAGCCUUAGACAAGUACGUGUAUCAGUCUCAAUACUGUGGGUUCUUGCAGCCGGAACAAAACUGCCACCCAAGGGAAGAAGGCAUGGAGUUCAUGGUGUUAGCGCAAAAGUUCUGAAUGGCAUCCGUCCUACCGGAAACCUAGGAAAAGGCGCCAAGCCCAUCUUUGUGUGCUUGCAUCCAACUGUGAUGAGCCUAUGUAUGUCAAGUUGGUGGAAGCGCUUUGUGCUGAACACCAAAUCAACCUGAUUAAGGUUGAUGACAACAAGAAACUAGGAGAAUGGGUAGGCCUCUGUAAAAUUGACAGAGAGGGGAAACCCCGUAAAGUGGUUGGUUGCAGUUGUGUAGUAGUUAAGGACUAUGGCAAGGAGUCUCAGGCCAAGGAUGUCAUCGAAGAGUAUUUCAAAUGCAAGAAAUGAAAUAAAUCUUUGACUCACA